Molecule: ribosomal RNA, 383 nt
Filed under: uncultured eukaryote
Lineage: Eukaryota
Description: partial 18S ribosomal RNA
Rfam family: Eukaryotic small subunit ribosomal RNA
Source: RNAcentral
CAAUAGCGUAUAUUAAAGUUGUUGCAGUUAAAAAGCUCGUAGUUGGAUUUCUGGUGGGAGCGAUCGGUCUGGCGCUUAGCGCGAGUAUUUGCAUCGUCUCCGGCCAUCCUUGGGGAGAGUCUGUCUGGCAUUAAGUUGUCGGGCAGAGGAUCCUCAUCGUUUACUGUGAAAAAAUUAGAGUGUUCAAAGCAGGCUUAUGCCGUUGAAUAUAUUAGCAUGGAAUAAUAAGAUAGGACUUUGGUACUAUUUUGUUGGUUUGCGCACCAAAGUAAUGAUUAAUAGGGACAGUUGGGGGUAUUCGUAUUCCGUUGUCAGAGGUGAAAUUCUUGGAUUUACGGAAGACGAACUACUGCGAAAGCAUUUACCAAGGAUGUUUUCAUUAA